Molecule: ribosomal RNA, 253 nt
Filed under: uncultured bacterium
Lineage: Bacteria
Description: partial 16S ribosomal RNA
Rfam family: Bacterial small subunit ribosomal RNA
Source: RNAcentral
UACGAACUGUGCGAACGUUAUUCGGAAUCACUGGGCUUACAGGGUGCGUAGGCGGCUUGUUAAGUAGGGUGUGAAAGCCCCCGGCUCAACCGGGGAAUUGCGCCCUAAACUGGCGAGCUGGAGUGAGAUAGGGGUGUGUGGAACUUCCGGUGGAGCGGUGAAAUGCGUAGAUAUCGGAAGGAACAUCAGUGGCGAAAGCGGCUUCCUGGACCAGAACUGACGAUCAGGCUCGAAAGCGUGGGGAGCAAACAGG